AGUCGAGUGCGCGUCUGUAGCAAUACAGAUGGCGCACGGCGCACGGGUGCGUAACACGUGGGCAAUCUGCCCUUCGAUGGGGAAUAUCUUCGGGAAACCGAAGCGAAUUCCGCAUAACAUUCCUUGGACUUCGGUUCGAGGACUCAAAGCCGUAAGGCGUCGAAGGAGGAGCCCGCGCACGAUUAGCUAGUUGGUAGGGUAACGGCCUACCAAGGCUUUGAUCGUUAGCUGGUCUGAGAGGAUGGCCAGCCACACUGGAACUGAGACACGGUCCAGACUCCUACGGGAGGCAGCAGUGGGGAAUCUUGCACAAUGGGCGAAAGCCUGAUGCAGCGACGCCGCGUGGGGGAUGAAGCAUCUCGGUGUGUAAACCCCUUUCGACCCGGAAGAAUGCCUCGCAAGAGGACUGACGGUACGGGUAUAAGAAGCCCCGGCUAACUACGUGCCAGCAGCCGCGGUAAGACGUAGGGGGCCAGCGUUGUUCGGAAUUACUGGGUGUAAAGGGUUCGUAGGCGGUGCGGCAAGUUGGGAGUGAAAUCUCUGGGCUCAACCCAGAGGCCGCUUCCAAAACUGCUGUGCUUGAGUGUGGGAGAGGCGCGUGGAAUUGCAGGUGUAGCGGUGAAAUGCGUAGAUAUCUGCAGGAACACCCGUGGCGAAAGCGGCGCGCUGGACCACUACUGACGCUGAGGAACGAAAGCUAG
Molecule: ribosomal RNA, 701 nt
Filed under: uncultured Acidobacteriota bacterium
Lineage: Bacteria; Pseudomonadati; Acidobacteriota
Description: bacterial SSU rRNA
Rfam family: Bacterial small subunit ribosomal RNA
Source: RNAcentral